Molecule: ribosomal RNA, 274 nt
Filed under: uncultured bacterium
Lineage: Bacteria
Description: partial 16S ribosomal RNA
Rfam family: Bacterial small subunit ribosomal RNA
Source: RNAcentral
AUACGGGGGUGGCAAACGUUGUUCGGAAUCACUGGGCAUAAAGCGUGUGUAGGCGGUUUUGCAAGUGAGGUGUGAAAGCCCUGGGCUCAACUCAGGAAUUGCGCCUCAAACUGCAUGACUUGAGUAUCGGAGAGGGAUGUGGAACUCUAGGUGGAGCGGUGAAAUGCGUAGAUAUCUAGAGGAACGCCGGUGGCGAAAGCGGCAUCCUGGCCGGUUACUGACGCUCAGACACGAAAGCUAGGGGAGCAAACAGGAUUAGAAACCCCAGUAGUCC